GAGAGUAUAGCUCAGUGGUAGAGCAUGUGCUUAGCAUGCAUGAGGUCCUGGGUUCAAUGUCCAGUACCUCCA
RNAcentral lists this transfer RNA (72 nucleotides) under Camelus bactrianus (Bactrian camel). It matches the Rfam family "tRNA". From Rfam's summary of the family: Transfer RNA (tRNA) molecules are approximately 80 nucleotides in length. Their secondary structure includes four short double-helical elements and three loops (D, anti-codon, and T loops). Further hydrogen bonds mediate the characteristic L-shaped molecular structure. tRNAs have two regions of fundamental functional importance: the anti-codon, which is responsible for specific mRNA codon recognition, and the 3' end, to which the tRNAs corresponding amino acid is attached (by aminoacyl-tRNA synthetases). tRNAs cope with the degeneracy of the genetic code in two manners: having more than one tRNA (with a specific anti-codon) for a particular amino acid; and 'wobble' base-pairing, i.e. permitting non-standard base-pairing at the 3rd anti-codon position. RNAcentral also lists the same sequence under 2 other names. Lineage: Eukaryota; Metazoa; Chordata; Mammalia; Artiodactyla; Camelidae. The record is from Rfam by way of RNAcentral.